Molecule: long non-coding RNA, 30718 nt
Filed under: Vitis vinifera (wine grape)
Lineage: Eukaryota; Viridiplantae; Streptophyta; Magnoliopsida; Vitales; Vitaceae
Description: long non-coding RNA (VVIN_LNC001699)
Source: RNAcentral
UUAUUUCUGAGCUAAAUCAGGAUGAAAAAAGGCAGGUAAAAACGGAAGGCACGCAGGCACUAGAAAACAAGGGAAAGAGGGGUGGAGUAGUGAGAUCAGCAAAGGCUCUCCGGACGAAGAGAGCCCACUUUUCCCCGCAUCAGAAAGCUUGGGAAACACCGAGAAAUUGAGAGGAAAAACAGAGAAAGAGUGAGAAAAAAACCCUAAACAUGUCUGAGAGUAAGAAGGAAGACAAACCCGCUAGGCAUCAAUCAACCCCCUUUUAUCUAUGUGUAUAAUUUAGACGACAUAAACACCAACCCAACCCCUCCUCCCUCGUUAUCAUUAUUAAAAAUAAACAGAGAGAGAGAAAGAGAGAGAAACGAGAUGUACUGCUACUGUGACUGAGGUGUAGAGCGAGAAAGCGAAGAAUGAAGUAAGCUCCAACAGUGGAAUAAUUAAAUAAAUAAAAAAACCAAAACCCAAAAAGCAGGAAACAAAAACAAAGAAAGAAGGCAAUAAAACGCCCGCAAAUCGAAAAUCCCCGAUUUGGUUUCUCUCUCUCUUUCCCUCCCUUCUCUCUGCUCACCAGCAUUUACGCACUCCUCCCUCUCUCUCUCCCUCUCCCUUUCUAAUCACACUUGUUUAAUAAUAAUCUCCACAUUUUCCUUUAAUUUUUCCAAAUUAAAGUUACUUCCCUACUUGGACAUGCUUCUCUAGAAAGAAUCAGGUCGGAGCCUCAGACAGCUUAAUUGAAAAAUCCAGCCCAUCACAAUUUCUUUUUUCUCUCAAGAAAACGACUGAUAUUCAACCUGAAUGUGAACAUUAGUUGGAAAGUGUUUGAAGUCAUUCUGUCUUUUGCAUUUAGUCAAUAUCUUGUACGAAUUAGUCCGGGAUUAAGAUUGAAAAUGAUCCCAUAACCAUUUCUAACCAGCCUUUCCCUUAAUGUUGGUGACCCUUCAUUCAUUUUGGUAAAACUCUCCUUUUACUUUUUUGGUCAAUCUCUUCUCCAUCCAAUUUGAUAUGGAUUUAAGUAGUGUAACUUUUUCUAUUAAGUUAAAACUAAUCUACCAAUAUCUAUUAAUAUAAUUAAAAUAAAUUUAUUAUAAAUAUAUUUAAUUCAAUUAUAUUAAUUAACAUCAAUAAAUUAUUUUUAAUUAAAUAAAAUAAAAACAUCAUCUUUAUUUUUAUUUUUAAUAAUUAUAUAUAUAUAUAUGCUUUUUAAAGUGUCACAAUCAUUCAUUCUUACCCUUCAAUCCAACUUAAUUGUUUUCAAUAGUUGAGAUUCGAGUACAUAAAUGAUGUGAUCAACACUUUGGAAUUGUGUGAAUCUAUGUGAAACCUAAUUUAAUGCACUCCCAUCCAAUUCAUGUCCCUACAAAGUUAAAUUAUUAUACAUGGGGUAUUAUUAUAUGAUUUGUGUCACACUCCAUAAAAAUAAAAAAUAAAAAAAAUUAUUAAGAUAUAUCUAUAUGUUAAGUACUUGGGAAAAAAGCCAAAUGUAUUUUGGAGAAUAAUUUGGAUUUUUAUUUAUUUAUUUUUUACAACUAUACUUCUAAUAUAGCACUCCAUUGGACAUGUUUGAUAAUUCAAUCAUUCAAUCUAAACAUGUUAAAUGAUUAAAUGUUGAUUUGUGUCUCAAUCCUAAUUCAAGCAUGCUAAUCACCAUGAUUGCUUUUAUUUCAAGAAAUGUUAUUGUACUUAAAGUAAGUUUUUGGAGUAAAACUUGGUAAAAAUCAAUUUAUCUUUGAUGUUUGUAUGGUGAAAUUAAAAUUAAAAAAAAAAAAAAAAAAGUAGUAGUGUGAUGGAUAAGCUAUUCGCUUAUUGCUUUACAUACAUGUUUUUUUUUUGCAUGUUUCGGAAGUGUGUUGUAUAAGUUUAUAUUCUAUCAAGAAAAUUGAACAAAAAAAUUAUUUUCUUUCUUUGUUUGAUUGAAAUUGAAUAAAAAAAAAUAAUAUUUGUCUCCCUGACUAAGAAUGAUAAUAGUGGAUUGGUCAUGUGACAUACCUUAUUUGUUUAAUUUUAUUAUUGAAAAAAUUAAAAAGAAUGAAAUAAAAGAAAAUGGGAUAAGACAACACUAGAAUUCAUUAUAAGCUUAAUAAAAAAUAUAAAACCACUUUUGAGUUGUUUAUUUUUGUCUCAAAUUUAUCUUAUUAUGAUGGAAUGGGAUGGGAUGGGAAGGGAAAAUACCCUAAAAAAACUUUGGCUAUUAUCAUCUCAUUUAAAACGAAAAUAAUAAAAAUAAUAAUAAAUUACCCAUAAAGUUAUAAAAAAGAAAAAAAAGUAAAAACAAAAGACAUGCAAUCCCACUGGAAAUAAAUAAUAAAUAAAAAAGGAAAAAUGGCAAAAUUGAGAAUAUUAAAAGAGAGCAAGGGCAGAAAAGAGUGGAGGGGGGAGGGGGUUGAGGGACCAGGAGUAGAAUUGAAUAGAGAGGAGGGCGGUUUCUUAAUUCCAGACCAACAUUAUAAAAAGCGAAAUGCGCAUGAUAGUGAAAAAAGUGAAUCCUCUUCUCUCUCUCCCCCCUUUCAUAUUAUUUUAUUUCAUGUUUUUUCUCAUUCCUUUUCCGGCGCGGACCGUCGGCGCACAUUAGCCUCGGUCGGUGAUUUUUGGGGAUUCGACAAACGCCCUAAAGAGAUAUGUAAGAGGAAAAAAGAAGCUAUUAAUAUACAUUAAAUAUGCUUUGUAUUUUGUGAAAACACAAAAAACAUUUUUAUUGUUUCAUCUCCUUUUGGGCAUGCGUGAAAAGCUCUCUCACAUGCUUCCCACACACACCCUGCAAAAUUUUAUUUGUUCACAGGUCCCUUUUUUUCUUUUUUCUUUUUUUUUUUUGGUAUUUAGUUUUGUUUAAUUAAAAAAGUAGCAAUGGGGCAAUAUUGGAUCACAAGCAAAGAUGAAAAAGGGGGAUUGAAUUAAGAAAUGGGCUUGGGAACAUGGGGUUAAAACUAAUCUUUUUGAUACAAUGAUUGUAUUUUUUUAUGUCAAUGAAAAUGGGUUGGUGAUCCGGUGAGGUUGGCUCCAUUGUAAAGACUUGUGGAGCCUUGGAGGAAACUCCAUUGUAUUUUGUAUAUAUUCUCAUGGGUAAGGGUGUAAGUGAAAAUUAAAAAUUCGGUAUGUCUGAUCAAAAUCAAAUAAAUGUGUAUUGGUUUAGUUUUCAAUAGUUAUUAAGGUCGAUUUGGUUUAAGAAUUGUGAAAACGGAUUUAGUCAAUUCAAUUUUUAGUGUUUCAAGUUAAAUUAAUACAUCAUUAGAGUUGCAGUUGUUAUUGCUUGUGCCUAGGGCUUUUUUGAACAAGAUCUCUCAUUUCUUAAUGUGGAUACCUAUAAAAAGGAAAAUCCUAAGAACCCUUAGAUGCCCCUUUUAAUUGUUCCAUUAGAUUUUCAACAAUAGUAAGAAAAUUUGAUAUAAUUUUUGAAAAGAAAAUUAGUUAUUCUCUGUCGAGUGUCACCAUAGGGCAAGUGACAACAUGCAAUUGAUUAUGCUCUAAAUGCAUCGUAGUUCAAAUUGGGACAAUUGUCCGUUACUAGUUAUGCAGUAUGUAAUGAAGAAGACAAAUGACAAACAUUCUCAACCAUGCAAUACCUAUUCGAGUGGUGGUUGUGUUGCAAGUUUGCCUAAUUUGUCAAGUUCUAUUGAGAUGAGAUUUUGUUAUAUUUUUGGACUUUCCGCCUUAUAUUAUGUCGUUGGGUGGUUUUGUCGAGACAAACUCCCUUCCAUACUAAGUGCGCUAUUAUUCAACUAGUAUGCUUAAAAAGGGGAUAGUGAGGGACAAAUUUGACUCCUCACAUAUUAUGAUUUAUAUAUCUUAUGAUUUGUAGAUAUAUUUAACUAAUUGAAUCACCUUAUCGUAAUGCUACCUAGAUAUAUAAGGUUAUAACAACACAACAACAAGCUUGUAUUAAUGUAACAAUUAAAAAAAAAACAAUUUGUAACAAAAAAAAAUUUAAAAUUCAAAGUAUAUUAGAAAAAAAUUAAAGAGAAAAUAAAUAUAUUUUAUUUUAUUCUUUUUUUUGAGUGAUACUAUGUUUUCUCACAAGCUAUUUUUGUUUUCAAAACAAAACCUAUAUACUAUGAGUACUACGCCUAUGAGUAGGUCCAAGGACUGGUUUGUUUCUAUUAUAUUUUCCGUAGCAAAAAAUCCAUCCAUUCAAAGGUUGGGUUAAUCAAUGGAACGAAAUUUUCUGAUGGUAAUGAUGAAAAUAUUUAUUUGCAGUUUUCAAACUUUGAAAGUAUUGUUGUGGAUGUAUUUCCACAAGUCCAAUACUCAAAAUAGAAAAGACCAAAUGAUUGAAACAUAUUUUCUUCCGUUUGGAUUGGAUAAUGGGAAGAUUGAAACCCCAGUUUCAAAAAGAAAAGAUUUUCCAAUCUCCUCUCUAUGACUUUGCAUUCCACUAUCUCCAUGCCAGUAGGAUCACAAAACCAUGUUGAAAAUUUUGAAAAACAUUAAAGUAAAAGAAUUUGACCUUCCAACACUGAAAAGCCUUUUAUGCUCCAUACAUGCUGUUGUGGGUCUUAUUGUGUGUGGUCACUUUGGACAUAAGUAAUCUCCCCUCUCACACACACACAUGCUGCUAAGUCCUAUGCAUGCCUUAGAUGGUUAAGAUGGUGAUGUUUUUAGGUGAUCUACAAACCUUCUUCCUCUAAUGGUGGCUUCAUUGAUUCACUAAGAUCAAACCUUUUAAUGGGUUUUUGAGGCCAAUUUUGCAAAAUAUUAUUACUUCAUUGACUCACUAUGACAAAAAAAUCAAAAUAUGUGAUGGGUUCUCUAGGCAAAGAUGUAAUGGGCUUUUGAGACAAAAUCAUGUGGUUUGUUUUGGCUAGUUAAUUGAUUGAAUAAGAUGGGAUAGAGUAAUGGGUUUUUAGAGGGCAAAAAUUGAGGGUGAUGAAGGGGAGAGGUGGGAAAGAAGAGAGGGACAAGGGAGAUGUUGGAGAAAGCAAAGAGAACACAUACAGGAAGACAUUCUAUGAGUGACAUAUAUAACAAGCAUGUCCCAGAUAUAGUACAAUGAAUGGGGUAUGAUGAGCAAUAACCAAAGUCAAAUGGGUAUAUUUUUCUUUUAUAAACUUUAGGGUUGAUGGGAUUAACAUCCUUCCACUUUGUCUCCCCUCUCACUCACUCCUCAUUUCUCUUUUGUUUUCUUGCUUUAUUUUCCAUGUCCCUAUGGGUGGAGGGUUCCUAUCGCCUUUUCCCUUCACCCAUUUGCUUUUCUCAUAGGAAAGGAAUAAUGCCACGGCCCUUCCUUAACCCACUUUUGGGCCCCAUCAAGGUCCAAUCAAGUCUCCCCCACAAACACCUCUCUUUGUGGGCCCCAGCUGUCUGGGCUGGGCCCAUUUUCUUUCUCUCACAUACACACACCUCCCCAAAAAAUGUUGCGUAAAUCAAUAGAAUGCUUACAUGGGCUUUGCUUUGAGGUGUUGGUGUCUUUCAAGUGGAGACUAUACCCCACCACGUCACACCCCAUUUCCACUUAGAUUUGCCACUCUGCACUCCCCCCACCCCCCCUCCCCCUCUCCCUCUCUCUCUCUCUCUCUCAACCUUUGCUUGCCCAUCACACUUAUUGUAGUACCCUCUUUUUACAUCAUUUCACUUAUCUCUCUCUCUCUCUCUCUCUCUCUCCAAUUCCAUGCUCUGUUCUUUUCACCAUAAAGCUUUAACCCACAUAUGGAUAAAGAUGCCACUGCUGUUUCUUGGUGGUUAGGGGUGUUGCUGAAGCAAAAUUGGUAGCUUUUGGGUUUUGGUGGGCUCACAUCCCACUCUCCUGUAGAAGAAGAUCAUCCACAUGAUAGGCCAUCUAAUAGUGCUUCUUGUUCAAUUAAUCAUUUAACUACCUGAUGUAAACCCUUGAUCUAUCAUAAAGAUGUCUCAUUAUUAGUAGGUAUGGUUUGUUAUAGCCUUUUAAAAUUCUAUUGGGUUUUCACAUGGCUCACCAUAAGAACUCUUUUUUAUGGGUGAGUGUGUAGGGUUGGUGAGAUUUUCUAAUAUGUACUGUUUUAGAGUUUAUCAUGGUUUAAAUUUCAGUGUGGAAGGCAGAGAGACAUCGAGAGCUUUUGUUCAUUGGUAUGGUGGAUUGCAGAAUUGGUUCUCUUUGUUUCAACAAAACAGCAUUCAUUUUUUUUCUCUUAAAUUGAAGCAUAGGAAAGUAAGAACAAGAGGAUGGGUAAGAGAGGGGACAAGCAUUUAAUAAGAGGCACCAAAGGAGAUGAACAUGCCAAAAAACUUUUGAUGAAUACGGCCAUUUGAAUUAAAUCCCACUUUCAGAAAACUGUGUUAAAACAAGUACGUGAAGGCAGUGGGUUCAAAAUUAAUUGACCAAAUUUCAUGAUGAGAUAAUCCAAGAGUCAAGCCUCCGUCAGAACCCUGCUCUUAAUCAAACCCCUCAUUUACUCGCUGUCCUAAAGGGCCCACAUCAUCAAGCCCUUGAUGAUUCUUACCAAAACUCCACUCCACAGUGUUUUGGUAAGUUCUUUUUUCUCUUUAGGACUGUCCCCAGAUAAAAUGCUAGAAAGAGAAAAAAAGGCUCGUGUCUUGGGCAGUGUAUUAGUGUAUGAAUUUGAGCAUCUACUGUCUUUGAUAUGAUUCUGCAAAUAUGUACAAGUCCCCUAUGUUGGACAUCAUGGGCAAUUAGGAGGGCUCAAUAAUACUCUCAUUUUCUUGUUCGUAUACAUGUAGAAAGGAGGAUGCGUUUGGUGAGUAGGCUUGACGCUUUUGAGUCAAGGAAUGCUAACCAGGGAGUCCUGUGGGGGUCUCCCAAAAUUAAAGAAGAAAAAGAAAGGAUGAAAACAUUAUUCCAGUUUGAAGUUUGAGAGAUAAGCCGAGCCUUUAAAAACUCCUCUGUUUUUUCACAUGAAAACCUCCUUUUUCAUUCUAAGGGGGUUGUUCUAACUGAGAUUGAAGGCAGAAACUAGUCCAGAGAUGCAUCUGGCCUGAUUUGGAAUCUCCCUUGAAAUACUGAAAAUUGGGUUGUUUCCCUAGUCAUCUUCAUUUGAUUUCAAAGAAAGAUCUUGGCUUCAGUUUAGGAUUAUAACAGAGGCAAGAGCAAAAGCUUCUCCAUCCACUUUGGCUUCAGAAAUACCAGAAGCUUUCCGAUCCAUCUUUAAUCGUACAAACACCUCAUCAUACUCAUAAUUUCCGCUUUAAUCCUAAUUGGGAAUCAAAGUUCAAUCCAAAAUAGCCUUUCGCCAGAGAAACCAAAUUGUAGCCACCAUAAGAUUAUCACUAAUAUCUGUACAGUCACAAUCCCCCAUCCUAAGAAGUUACAUGAUCCCAGUAUUGAGGAAAUUACAUUACAGAAACUAAUUCCAAUUUCCCCUUACACGCCCAUGACCGACCAUAGAAAGCUGCGUUACAGCAUGGAAGGAACCCCAGGUGUGAACAAACACUGUAUGGAUACUAAAUCGGCUCUACUAUAAAAUGAUAUGACCAGCAUGCAUACAUGAUAAAAGUAUAAAUCACAAUAAGCUAUAGAGCAUUUGCGGUGCAGCUGCUCUUGAAUUGCAACGAUUAAAGAUUGCCGAUGCUAAUUUAACCUGCAAACAACGUAGCUUUAACAAAACAAAGAACUGGCAAAUAAAGAGGGGGUUGAAGCGCACUCAUAUAAUAAGAUGAAAAAAGGAAGGCAAAAAACCUGAAAACCAACACAAGACCAUAAUAUAAUUCCUUGUCGAUUUAAGUCCUACCCAACCCAACCGCCAUCAUAUCUUUAGUUGUUCCAAGCUCUUUACUGCUUCAAAUUCUUGCAGGUCAUUGGCAGUUGCACUUCCAGUUUCCUCUACAUGAGCUGGUGAUUUAGUUGGCAGGGAAGGCAAUGAAGCAGCUGAUGGAUCUUCUUUUCGAACAACUAGAGGAUCUUCUUUUCGUACUGGUGGAGCAGCAAAAACUGGAACAGCUUGCCUAACACAAACUGGUGGGGCAAUUCGCAUGUGUGGAGCCCGAAUCACCUGAGGGGGUAGCCCAGAAGGUGGUGCAGAGAAAACAGGAACAGCAUUCCUUAUUGUCACUGGUGGUGCAAUCCCAUGAUAAGGUGUCCUAAACUGCCGGAUAGGAACAUAAGGAACUGCCCCUGCUGCAGGGAAUCUCUGGGGGCGGACUGCACGAACGUCCAGUGCUAGAGGCUGUGAUGGUGGCACUGGGUUCUCACUUGAUGUUGUUGACGUGGGUCUGCUUCGUGGCUGUGAUGAUGGCAUAGAACCAUCAUUUGCAGUUGGUGAUGGAGGUCUGUUUCGAGGAGGUGUCUUUUGGCAGAUUAAAGGGAGAAUUUUUGAUGUGGCAACAGGAGGCAGCUGAGGACUAAACAAUCUUGAAUUCUGAAUUGGAAAUUUCUUUGGGAAAGACAACGUGCCACUAGGGGAGUUUGCUAUUGCCAUCUUUUCCUUCAGCCGAUAAUUCAAUAGUGCUCGUGCUAUUGUGAUCUGCUCCAGCUCAUCAUUGUUCUCUGUCUCAGAUGAUGAAUUUGCAGCCUCUUUUGCCACUGGGCAUAAAAGAAAACAUGUAAUUUACGUAAGUUUCAAGGCUUUUGAGAUGCAUUGGAGGCAAAACUGAAAAUCUCACUAGAAUGUCAAACAAAAGGGGCAGCAGGAAUCAACAUAAUGGCCCAUUGAAUAUUAUAAAAAUAUGAUAUUAUCAGGAGGAAAUAUACAGGGAAAAUAUUUUUUAGAUGCGGUAAAGAAGGAAUUGACCCAAGAGUUUUCCAACAUAACAGAUGUUAAAUCCUAUACAGAAUGGAGCAGAAAAAUGAUAUUUAAAACGGAAGACUCAAAUCCUUAGCAUCAACUGGCAGGCUCAUAUUAGAAUGAGCCUUCUGCACCAACCCAGUUCUAUGAUAUAUCCACUCUUGCUUGAUAUACUAAUCAUAUGUCCUAAGUUCAGGUGUGAGGUAUAAUGUCAGUCAUCUUCCAACAACUUAGUAGUAUUGCAAUUGGACACGGAUCAUUAAAUAAACAUCAGACUCGAUGCAAAUUCUAUCAACUCCAAAUCUUUACGCUUGAACCCCCUUUUUUCCCUAUUAAUGUUAGAACCUGAUUCCAUUUAUUGUGCAACCUGAUUCCAUUCUUCUCUAGUAGAUAAAUACAUAUAUCAUAAGUUCAUCUUUGCCAUAAAGAAUUUCACUGGAUAGACAGAGACUGAUGGACAAAGCAUGUAUAUAUAUCACUUUUCUUGGUGUAAUUUUUCCUAUUAUUAAUUUUAUAUAUUUGAUACAUACACACACACACACACACACACACACACACAUAUAUAUAUAUAUAUAUAUAUAUAUAUAUAUAUAACUCUCCAUAAAUCUACUACUGACUACCAUUGCAACUAACUACUAAAAAAAAUUUAGACUGGAACUUACAUUGUUUUAGAGAUGACCAAGCUGCCAUUGCAGCAUUCUUCUCUGCCUGUUUCUUAUUCUUUGCAGGUUCCCCUGUGAAUGUGAUUCCAGCCAAUUCUACUGUACCUGUAAAAACAGGUAGGUGCCCAAGGCCUGACCUGAAAGUUGUGUAUUGAGGCAAUGGUGCUCCUACUCUUUGUGCAAUCUCCUGUAAAAGGUUCUUGUACACUCCCGUCUCAUCCUAACAAUGGUAAAACUUAAUCAGUAUCACGAAAAAAAUAUCUAAUCAUAGCUGUGAACCAAGUAGAUCAAGGAAUAUGGAUACACAACACAUAUUGAAAGCUACUAGUAUAUCUCCUUUUCAAGGCUGUGACAAAAGCACACAAAUGGAAUCUGAGGCCAAAUUAUCCCCAUUUCACAAAGUCUUUAUUUGUCUAUCUUGACAGAAUUUUUUAUAUCAUUAAGUAGACAAGCAAUAUUGCCUUUGAUGACUUCUGAAAAAGCCAUGCAUGGUGUGUUUCACAUACAGAAAAAACAGAUAAUGGUCCACGAGAAUUAUUGCAUCAAAACAACAUACAAGAUGAGGACAUGACAUGGAGUAGUAUCCCACUCUUAGUCAGCUAUUUAAUGACCAAAUUAUUUUAACAAAUAUUUUUACAAGGAAGUAGAAAUUAAAUAGUUGACUGGUUUUUUUUUAGAUUUACUUUUAUCCCAUACUAUGACACUCCUUUCAUUCUUUAGGAACUGAAUAUGUAAGAGGAAUGACUUUUCUUUCUAUAAGCAAACAGAGAAUAGGCAAGAAAAAUAAUUGAAGCCUCACAAUCAAACAGAGGCGGGUUUCAAAUGAAUUGCAAAUUUGGAACAAAUACUUCACAGAAAAGUUAAACAUUCAAUUGAAGCUUGAAAAAUGCGUCCUUGAGGCUCAUCUCACAUGUUAUUAAACGGUUGGGAUAUUUUCUGGGAGGUUCGAGGUUCAAGUCCCAAUAGGAACAAAAACAAAAGCCUAUCACCAAAAAGAGAAAAUGAAGCUUGAAAAAUGGCAAUGAAAGAGGCAUACAUGAAAUCCUAUCUCCCAGAACAACUUACAAUUUUUCCUCUUUUUCUAAUGGUUUUUUUAUCUUACAAUUACAUAUGACAAAGGCCUCUGAGGAAUUAGUAUCUUACAAUUAAAUAUUCUAACCCUGUGCUCCAUCCAACAGGUUCAAAACUUUUGGAGACCAACCAAAGAAAGGGAAAAAAAGGGGAGGAAAAUAGAGGUGUGGCUAAGAAAAGGUGACUACUUUUUAGGAAAUCCUCUUGCGAAUUGAAAUGCUCAAUUGACCUUUCAAGAAAAUCCAUAAAAUGGAAAAUGAAUCAAACUCUUGAAUUUCAUUUCAUAAUUAGAGAUAAGAAAACAAAAAACCACGCUUUAACAAAGACUAAUACAGCCACCUGGCUCAAUGGAGUAGUUUUCUUUUCCUCCAGACACCAAAAUAAAUCAACCCAAAAUUUCCCUUUUUCUUUUCUCAAUGGCCAAACAGGGAAUGAAGAAGAACAACAACAAAAAGGAAUAGGCCCAAAAUUGCUAGGUUUUACCACAAAUUCCUUGACUGGAAUACCCCUAUAAGCAAUCAUUAACCCUGAUGUACCAGAAGACUCAAUCAGCAGCGAUGGAAUAAUAAACACAAGCAAACUAGAUCAAUCUUAGUUAUGGCUUCACAGAUACCACACAGUUUUCACUUUCGCUUCCUAAAUUAAGAUUAUCCGCGUCAGCUAGCCAGAAUAUCCCACGACUUUGCAAUUCUACCCAAAAAUGAGACCCAAGGAUAUUUCGGUCAUUUCAAAAUCAACCCCUUUUCAACCCAAUCCCCAAACCGCCGAUCAAAAAGCAUGCCGGAGUUACACUGGCGGGGCGGGCGAAAUAUGUGAAAGAAGCUGCUCAAAUGCACCGAUCGUCGCAAGAAAAUACAGAGCAAUGGAGCAGAUGAAAAACAGAAGGUCUCAAAUAACACAUGGCGCACAUUAGCAAAGUCCAAUUUUAUUUUAUUUAGCCUAAAAAGAAGAUCGAAAAGCUUUGAGAAUUACGGAAGCAAGAAUAUACCCUAAAGGCCGUUUAAUGAAGCGUGACUCACCAGAAUCCUGGCGGCGAGCGAGUGCGAGGGACCGCGGUUAGAAAGCGAGUUCAGGGCGACUUCAGCGGCGGAGUGCUCGGCUUGCCGCAGAGUGGUGCAGUAGUUAGGGCUCUCGAAGAUCUCGCCGUUAAAGUUAACGGUGGCCUUGAACCUAGGCGCGUGAUCAGGACCUUCUCUGAUGCACGUGUAUGACGGCAGAUUGAAACAGCUCCUCUGCGCCAGCUCCUGAAGCUGGUUUUUGUACAUCUCGCUCCGAUUUCUCUCCCUCAGUCUCGCGCUUCUCUACUCCAAUCCCUCCGCUUUCUCGCCCUAGAAACCGAUUUUCUCACCCAGGAAAUGCCUCCCGGAGCCAGAUCCAAGUCGUAGUUCCCCGUUCGGAAUGAGAGAAAAAGGCGCUGACUCGUACACCAGUGUUCACCGGAAAUGAAGUCCGGCAAGAUCGAGGUUUUAGGGUUUUUCUGUAGAGAGAGAAAGAGAGGAUAUGAAGUUGUGGUAUUUUCUAGUGAUGUUUUCUUUUUCCUUUCUUUUUUGUUUUUUGUUUUUUUUCAUUUAAUAAAUUUGUAUAUUUAUUUUAUUUGUUAAAUGUUGGGAGUCAACUCAACGUUAGGCUUGCAUGGAUGUGAUCUUCCCUUAGAUUUUCCAUGAAUAUAUAUAUAUAUAUAUAUAUUUUUAAUUUUUUUUUCUUAGUAAUUAGUUCUACUUGUUGUUUAGUUUAUUAGUUAGUUAAUUAAUAUUGAUUAUUUGAUAAUUAAGGAAUGAGUCAGCUUUACCGUGUUGAAACCACCAAGCCUCCGUAUUCAGGUCUGGGCCCAGACAUCCAUUUUUAAGAGUGGCCCAUACGAAAGCUGGGCCUACAAUAUACAUAAUACAUACGCUUAAAUUAGAACUUUGUAGACUAAUAUCAAAGUCCAAACCCAUUUUAUAAUCCUAUACAAUUUUUCUUAUUUUUGUAAAUUGGUUUGUUUUUCAAAGAGAAAAAAAGAAGUUUGAUAAACGUCAACAUUAUUCAAUAGUUGAUUAGAGGAACCUGAGGAAGUUUGAAGUUCUAAUUUAGGGUAGGUAGCAUUAGUUUGGCUGAUCAUCUUUAGGGCAUAAAUGCGUUUUUCAUCUGCCUCGCCAAUGAACAUCGCAUUCAUUGACUUUAAGGCACCCCCAUCAACAAAUUUUUAUUCCAUGAAUAUAUAUAUAGCUAUAGAUAUUGUAAGAGAGGGAAAGAAAAGUCCAAUGUGAAGGUGGCAUGGCUUAGGCGCCGGACUUCACUUAACACAGAAAUGAUGAGGAGGAAGGAAUCUGGGAGAUGCAGGAAGUGAAUUACAGAAAUGGGCAUGGAAGUGAUGGAGAAGGGAGGGAUUAGAAAGGGAUUGGGGGGGAGGAGAAAUGGCCGGACUUCACCAUCAUGGGGGAGGUUAGUGGGGAACAACCUUUAAUUAAUCUCAGAAAUCGAUGAAGUUUGACCACCACCCAAUAACAAAAAAGAGAGUGUGUGGUUUUUGACGAGUUGAAAAUUGGAAUUGCUUGGAACCAACCCCACAUCCACUAAUAGGCCGCGUGGAGGGUGACCCAGUGCCACUCUCCCACUCUCCACAUUUAAACAGUUGACUCAUAUUCCCUGGAAUCCACCCAUCAAUUUUGGAAUCUCUCUUUUCACUCCUUCACUCUUUUUCUUGUCAAACAAGGCCUUAUUUUUUUUCAUUUUUAUUUUUUUGCCCUUUUCCAAAAUAGAUAAAACCAUCAUUCUCACUAAUUUCCUGGUGAAUAGGGAGGAAAAUGGGUAUAAUGAUUCAAAUAAUGAGGGUUGUUGAAGGUUUGAUUAAUCAUUGAAAGUGGGUUUUGGGUGGAGAAUGGGGGAGAGGGAAUAAAAGUGUUGGACGAAUUAACCCAAAGGGGGAAAAGGGGAAGGGGGUGAUGGGGACAAUGUAUGAUAUGAGUGAUGAGUGGAUUACAGGCCACACAUGACAAGGGCGAGAGAAGCCGUUGGAACAGCGUUUUCUCCCCAUUUACACAUUUCCAAGGGCAAUGCCCACUUCACUUAAAUGCAACCCCAACCUCCCCAACCUACGCACUUUUCAAACACCCACAUUCUUUCUAGAUUUAUCUAAUUGCUUUCUCAAUUUUGGAUGUUCAUAUAAACACCUCCCCGGUGUUUGACUUACCUUUUCCUCUUUUCCCCUCUAAAUUUUCCAUCAAACAUCAUAUAAAUUUAUCAUUUUUGCGCUCCACGUCAUUAGCUUGCAAAUGCAUGUCAUCCUCAUAUGGAUAAUGGGUUACACCCACCACUAAAAACCCAUGACAAAAUGGAAGAUGAGAGAAAGCGGGGCACCUCCUCUGUCAUUGCAGCCCAGCCCACAUUGGAGACGUGAGGGUUCGUUGUGUGGGACAGGAAGAGAAGGGGAUCCUAAUCUUGGGACAAACCUUGAUCAUGCAUAUCACUUCACAAUCUAAUUCUCUAUUAAGCCAGAUCCAGUAUUUAAAUAAUAAUAAUAAUCUGGUAUUAAAUUCAUUUUCUGUUGGAUUUCUAGAUUUUCCAACUCUAUAGAGUUAUUCACCCAUGAUGCAGGCUACAAGACAGCAACACAGAGACAUAAUCAAAAUACAAAUCAGACUCAUAGCUUUCUCAAAUUAGUGCUUGUAAUAAAAACCCUUGACCCACUGAACACUAUUCAUUUUUUCUUUCCAAUCCUACUCAAAUGGUUCGGAUUCUGUUUUAGCAUGGCUGUUGCGCUAGAUACUAAAUUACUGAAAUGAAUACUGCCUCAGAUAAUUUAUUCAAUAUACUUUUGUAUACAAGCGGGGUUGACAACAAGAGGAUACAAAUCAUGGUGAUUUCUUUUAUAACAAUAAUAAUAAUGAUAAAUAUGAGGUAUUUUAUUAGAAAAACAAAAUUAACUAUAGAGUCCAUGCUGUGUUACAAAAUAUUUGAGAAAAUCACCAUGAAAAGGGGCUUGCUCCCAACAAGAAAAUCUCAUUUUCAACAUCCUUUACCCAUUGACAGACCCGGUUGCACGUCCGUAUCGCCAAGGCCUGCAAAAUCAUGUCCAUCAGAAAUUGGAUUGCAUAGAAAAAGGCAACAUGCUAAAUCAACAGUUGAGAUUCCUUGGCAUUAUCAACUACAUUCUUGUGCACUUCCUCACUUGCCUUUCGGGGUUUUUUAUAAGACCUUUUUUUAUUUGUCACAAAAUGUAUUUUGUAGGAAAGAAUUUUUUUUAUCAGGAAAAUGGGGUGGUGAGAGGACAUCACUGUAGGGUAAAAAGGACUUGUGUUCCUCCCAAUCUUAUCAAUUAUUCCUUGCCACAUACCUCAAGAACUCUUCAAUUUCUAAUAAAUCAUCAAAGAAAGUACUUGAUAUUGUCAGAAAAACAAGGCCUCCAGGAGGCAGUGGCAUGUAGCAGCAUUUGAUGGAGGAGAACAGUAUGCAAGCAGAAAUCAUUUUUUUUUUCCAAAACUGAGGAACCUUCCAUGACCAAGCCCUUGAGACUCUUCAUAGGGAUCCAAACCUCGUGGUGCUGAUCGCCCCACAACAACCAGCACUAGGUAAAUUCAGGGUAUCAUUAGUAGCAGGAUUCGAACUCAAACCCAUGUGCCACUUACUGGGACCACACUUCUCAGUGUUCACCCUUACCAACUGGACUAUUGUCAGCUCCUUAGCCCUUGACUUAACCAUGGAGGAAUAUGCUUCAUGGGUAGGCCUUGCACCCAUGAGAGCCUAGGAUGAAAGCAGGGAAAGCCUGGAGGUUUGGUGGUUCAGACUCUAAGGGCUAUGUGAGGAGGCCACGGGCGAGCCAGACGCGCGCUGCGGUGCGCGCACUGUGGGUGAGCCAGACAUGCACCGCGUGCGCACCAGAUGGGCAUCGUGUGCGCACCUGACUUAGGUGGUGCAGAUGAAGGUUGAGGGACUUUUGGAAUUUUAAUUUAUAAUUAUUUAUUAUUCCAUUAUGUCUCCUCAGGCAUAUUGAUGUCUCCUCAAGAAACAAUGAAAACGACCCGUAUUGCUCUCUUAGGAGAAGGGGAGGGGGGGGUUAGGUGACUCAAAGGAGGGAGCCACCAAGGGAAGCCUUGACUGCACCAAGGAGGCACCAUGGCAGGGCCUUGGGCUUGUCGAAGACACACGGACGCUACUCGAUCAUGCACACAUGGGCUCCACGACAUGUGUGGUGUGCACCCCGCGGCCGCAAUGGCACGGGGCCUGGUGCGGCCUACCCCCUCCCCACACAGGCACGAGGGCGCCUAAGCCUUGUGCGGUGAGCCAGCUAAUGAAACCAUGGGCACAAUGCCAUGGUCUGAUGGCACCAAGCAAUAGCUGACUCGCACCAUGAUGCCUACGCACAGCACAGGGGCGCAAUGCCCUGUGCACCAAGAGGGAUCAGCCAUGGGCGCAAUGCCAUGACUCGUUGCUAUGACGUCGGACCGGACAGGGGAAGCAAGCAACAAGCCCAAGCCAUGGACACCUAGACAUGACACGGGCUCAUACAUCAGUGUGAGGAAGGCACAGAUGCACCAGACGCUUGGUCAGAUGGUUGGUGCACGCUACCUUGCUCAAAGGACCUUGAUCAAAGACAGGCUGCUGGACACCUGGUCACAAGAGGCACCUUGCGGGGAAGGAGUUGGCUUGUUAGGGGGACUCUCCAACAGCUUGGCGAGCAAGACCUGAGAAGAUGGUAGUGCAGUUAACUAGUGGCAGCUAGCUCAGACAGCAAGUGACCAAGUCAAGCCGUCAUUUGACCUGCAGUUGGCUGAGGGAUGAUGGCUGGUGCAAGUGGGUGGCAUGUGCAGGCCACUAUUUGGGUGGUGGGUGGUUAUGCAAGGCAGUUAAGGGCAGCUCUGGCCAGUUGCAUAACCACCAAGUUGGCUCCAACAUUUGAAUUUGGAAAUUCAAAUUUGUAACUGCAGCUUGAGUCUUUUAAAAGGGCUCCUGCAGCCUUGAAACAGAGAGAGAGAGUUUGGGGAAAGGGUUCUUUCUCGUAUGCUUGGGUGAGAGCAUUGUACUCUGGUUCAGGAAAUGAUUUUGUCUUGUAAGAGUGAAAUAAUACAAGUUGGGAAAGGAUUCCCGUAACCUCGUAUGUGUCCCUGUUGCUUUGUUCUUUCUGUGUUUUACUCUGUUUUUCUAAACGCUGGGAAGGAAGGUUGGCUAAGGAAGGGUCCUUAGCACCGCACACUCGUGAAAAAUUAAGUGAGAUAUUCAAGGGUGUGACAACUACCAUAACGGGUAUGCAAGUGAUAUCAUCUGUUCUCAAAUGCCUAGUUGGGGUGUUCAUACAUUUGAUAAGAACAAGCAAUACAUAGAGAAGUUUAAAAUCGCAUGUGUGAUGAGAGGAGUGUGAGACCCUGACAUAUGUAAAGCAUCUAAGCAGACCAUCACGUGUUUACUAUUAAGCUAUCACUUGGGCAGGACCAAAGUUCAAUAUUGACUUUUGAGCAGUAUGCUUCAUAGACAAAUUAUAUGAACAGUGAAAGGAAUUUGUAUACUGAUCUGGUAUGAGCAAUAAAAACAUUCUUAAUUAACAUACAUGUGAAUCACACUUUUGUAAGGGUAAGAAGGUGAAGCAAGUUAUCAUUGUGAACAAUACCAUAUACAAACCUUAAUUCUCAUCUCACACUACAUUUCCACAUAAUGCAAGCACACAGCUAAUUACAUGUGAAAACUGAAUAAUUUUAGUUGAUCAUAUAGAGAAACUAUCUAGCAGAUGAUAAAGUCCAACAAAAACUCUUAUGCGAAUCACAAGAUAUUUGAUGUAAUAUAUGAGAAAAUUGUUAGAUGUAGAGGAGGAUGGAGGGAAUCAUACCUUAUCUGCAAGUGGAUCAAAUGCUGCAUAAAGUUCAAACUCCGGGGUAACCCAGCAGAGGAGAACUGCCACAUAAAAGCAAUAUGGAACUUCAUCAGAGGAGUCUUACAGUCAAGCGAUGGAAUGUAACCAUGAAGAUUAAUUAUGGGUAACUGCAAAAACCAUUAAUUUAUGGAACCUACAAACUAUUUUAACAGUGCAAAAGACAUUCAAACAACAGAGACAAUCCUGAUCACUUAAUAUAAGCAUUUACUACUGUACAAUUCAAGCAUGAAUAAGAAAAGUUACCACAAAGUCUCAACAUCAAAAGGUUUAUCAUCCAAAUAAUAGUCAGUUUGGAAAUGUGCAAACAGUGAAACAAGCUUUCAAUUUGACAAACAUGCUCAGUAUAGCAAUAACAAGUAAAGGAAACUUUUUUAGCAAAUGAUUUACAAUGGCCAGGUCUAUACAUCCACUUUAUGAGAGGAGAGAGCUUCCAUGAAUAAACACAAACAGUAGAUAGGAGAAAUCAAGUAGUUGAGAGAAAAUAAGGCUUCCCUCCAUAAUUCAAAAAUUAAAUGUAAAGGAAAAUGCUAACCCUAUAUUCACAAGUUUUGCACAUUUUAUAUACAUAUAUAUAGACAUGCAAAAGGCGCAUAUGUAUUAAUAGCACCUAAGCAAAUGGGGCAGCAAAAUACACAUGAUGUUUACAUUUGGCACCAAACGCACGAGCUCCUUCUCCUUAUUUGGAGCUAAGCCUAUCGUGAUCAAAGAAUGAUCGCCUAUGUAUACUUUGACCCAUUCCAAAAAAGUAUUCAUCAUUCAUCAAGUUUUGUACAUAAAUAUACUUUUACAGAAAAAGGCUUUUGUUUUAAUUUGUUGCUGUUAUUAUUACAAGGAUGGCAUUAGAAUUAACAUCAUGCGUUAAAUGACAUCCAUUUUUAUUUAAUUCUUUCACCAAUAACGAUCAAGAUGAUAAUAAUUUCCAAAAAAUAUGUAAAUUUCUACAUUUUCUUUAGAAAUAUAAAUAAGGUUACCUUUUUUUUAUGCCAAUCUCAUGUUAUUUUUUUAUAGGUUUUUGAACUCGGGUUACUGGAUUCAGAGUCCAAUGUCCUGACCACUAGACCAUGGGACCAAGUUAUGCCAAUCUCAUGUUACAGACAAGACAUUUCAACUUCCAUUUAUCAAUUAUUCAUUUUCAGUUUGGCUGUCAAAAUGUUCUGAUUAAUGAUUCCUCUGUAUGAUUAGUUCAGAUAUUAUUUAUAAUUCAUCAAUUUGUCAGGUAAGUGAUGCCACAGUGAUGGAAGAUGGGCCAUGACAUACCCACCUUAAAAAUUUUCCGAGGCUUCCUCUGCAUCUAAAGAAGUUACAUAGUCACGACUUCGAACCUUCUUCAAAAUUUUACACUGUUCCAUUAUAUUUUCAUUUUCAGAAUAUUUAACUUUUGGUCAAUAGAGCUCAGAACCUGCAAUCAUAUUGAAGAAAACACAUUUUUUUUUAUAGGCAUAUGCAGGUGAGAAAACACAUGCUUCAAGUGGUUCCAAUCUCCAAUUUUUAGUACAUUUCUGGUGGUUCGUCAGUAAUGUUUCUCAUACUACAUGUAAUUAACAUCAACAAAAUGAUUAAGUGAGAUUAGGAAACUACUCAUGCACAUGCACAUAUUUCUCAUAUUUCAAAUUAGUAUAAAUUAAAGAUAAAAACAUUUUACCAUAGUUUUCAUCCCUUCUAAACUGUGUUUUAUGGGGGGGGCCCACUCCUCUAUCAUGCAUGGAAGCAUAAAGCUUCUGGUAAGCUCUAUAUAAUCUGCAAAAGAGGAACUUGUUAUUUUCCUGACAGCAACAAAGCAGAAAAGACAUAGACAACAGAAAAGAACCCAGAACUCAUGUCCAGUGAAGUUGACACAAAGAUUUAACACUUUUACCUUUUCUGCUGUCUGGAACUGUUAAUUGGUGGUGAGAACUCCGAAGAUACAUACUGAUCCAGAUAUAUGCUGCGAUAUAUGAAAUGCCAAAGUCCAAAAGGACCACCAACACCAAUACAUUCUUCCCUAGAUGUUUCUGGAGAAUCUGUUGGAAGUUUGUGCUGGCCUAAAUGAGCAGAUAAAAUACCAGAGCGAGGAGAUGUAUCAACAGGCAAAUCCUCCACACGCAUCCCACCAUCUAGCAGGGAUCUCUGAACUUCGCUGAGAACAUUUGACUUCAAAAGCACCGUCUCAAUACGAAGCCUAUAGAAUUAGUUAAAUCUUAACACAGGAAGAAGACAGGAAACAAGAAUAAAUUAUCUGGAACACACUAGGCGAAGAUGUGAAUUUUCCAUCAUUCAUGUGGAGAAAAUAUUUAGUUGGCUUCUGCUAUCAAAUUUCACCAAGCAUUUAUCAAGUUAAAGCGUCAUGGUUUACCUGCAAUCUUUGAGAUGAUAGAAAGCAUCUGAUUUAGUAGUAAGCAACAUCAAGUAUGUGUCAACCUGCCACAAGAAAGUAAGAAAAAAAAAACCAUUCAUGCUCUUUCUUGCAUGAGUGCUACAAAUAUUAAGCAUCCGUUGAGUGCAGAAAGUGACUAUCAGUGGUUCUUCAGUCCCAAGACUAAAUGCAAUAACUGAACAGAAUCCAAGAAGGUAAGCAUUGAAUGAGUAUGAGAAGAAAAAGAAGUCUUUGAGACAUAUCCCACUCACAUCAAGAUAAUGGACAUAAGCAUAUAAAAAUGCCAUGGGAUUAUAUCUUGGCAGGCAAAUUGGUGAGAAAGAUUCGGAUGUCCUGCAUGAAGCCCAUGGAACAAGAUUACAACUCCACAAACAAGUUCAACCACAACCACCCAUACAACAAGAUUAAGUCCAUUUCAACAGAGUAAGGAUAUUUAAGAUCAUUUUUCACAUGUGAUAUUCUUGUUGUAUAAGUUAUAAACAUACAAUAAUGACAAUAAGUAAUUAAAGCAAAAAAUAUCAAAUAAUGGAGGCUUAUGACAUCAAGUCAUUCAGCAAUGCACAAGAAUAAGCUGCAGGGCUUCAGAUGUGAUAAAUGUAAACAACUACAAGCCUCAUGGUCAAGCUGCAAGCUAAGCAUGUACCUAGUUGAGCAUAUAUUGGAGGCUUAUAAGUAAUUAAAGCCAAAAAUAUCAAAUAAUGACAAUAAGUAAUUAAAGCAAAAAAUAUCAAAUAAUGGAGGCUUAUGAUAUUAAAUCAUUCAGCAAUGCACAAGAAUAAGCUGCAGGGCUUCAGAUGCAAUAAAUGUAAACAUCUAUAAGCCUCAUGGUCAAGCUGCAAGUACCUAGUUGAGCAUAUAUACAAGACAUGAGAUCAGAUACUAAAGCACUGUAUAGCCUAUCUCCAUGAAAAUGCCAGUGAACAGAUGAUGAAGCCAUCAAUAGAGGGCAUAUAAACUGACAUGAAAAAACAAUCAUAUAGGCUGACAUAGAAAACUAACCAUAAAGCUAUUGGAGAACCGUUGGCAGUAUACAAACAGCAUCCAGAGCUCUAAACAAUAAGGUCAACAUCUUUCAUGAAUUAAUUCCACUAGCAGAGUAAUUGAUUAUAAUCUAAACUGAAGCUUAAAAUCUAAUACAUGCAUAUAAGUAUAUUAGGAGCUCAUUUUAUAGAGUUUAAAUUGUUUCUUUUUGUUUUCUCCAAGUGCAUACUCGCCAUGUACUUGGGUUAAACCCCCUUUGCAGUGUUUUCCUUGCUUAUAAAAAAGGUAGUCCAUAAGAGAGAUUAGGGUUCUAUCUGUAGUUCCUUAUAUUUUAUAUUAAACAGCACACAAAUGACACCCUUCUACAGUUUAGAGAACAAAAAACAAUAGAAGUAGUGGCAUAAAGCACCACUGCCAGCACAAAACUACUGUGAGACAUACAAACAGCCCAAGAACAAUGGAAAGAACAUGCUAAAAUUAGGAAUGCAACUUGGGCGGGUUGGUUUGAUCCUACCCUAUGUGUAGGAGGGAUUGGGCAAUUGUUUUUAAUACUCAGGUUGGGUUUGGGUUAAGCUUUUUCAAUUAGAACCAAUUUGGGUUGGACUUAAGCCAAGGUUCAAACAACCGGAGCCUACCUCAAUUAAAUAUUUUUAUAAUAUUUAUAAUGCAUCUUAUAUAAUAAUAUUCAUUUUCUUUUUAGAUUCUUAAGGAAAAAUAUCAAAUCAUAAUUAUAUCAUAUACUUUUUCAUUUUUCUAGAAAGAUAUAUAAUUCAUAUUAUAUUUUUUUAUUAUCUUGAAAUUUUAUUCCAUUUACUAUUUAAAUUUUAGUAUAAAUAUUUAGAACUUUUAAAUAAAAAAAAAUUGCAGAUGAAUUUUGAAUCAUAUAAUCUUACUAACCUAAGUCUAAUCCAAAUAAGCCAAGUCUAACCCAACCAACCGGAACACAACCCAAGUUCAGAAAAAUGAACUUGGAUUAAGUACCUCAUAUUAGAGCUUGGAUUAAUUAUUUUUUAAGUUGGAUUGGACUCAAAUCACUCAUCAACCUGACCAAAUUGUAAGAAAUGGAUACAACAUACCCCAACACAAUGAACUCAAAAAACCCAAUUAUUAGCAAGGUCCUGACAUUAAGUGUCAGACAAGCCAAAGUAUCAUCUAAUGUUGAGAGGGUAAGAGAUACUAAAAAGGUGUUCUCACAUAGCCUACGAAUGAUAAAGCGCCAGAUCCUGAAAGAGAGAUGGACUGCUGGACUUCAUUCAAUAUACACAUUACUUAUUAGGUAUCUCUUCAUACAGUACUAAUAAACACUUAACUUACAAGAUUGGUCUUCUUUACAUUGGUACUAUCUAUAUCUUUUCAAACUGUGGUAGGCUGGUAAUUAGUAGCCAGUUGCACUUGAGGACUUAUUUGGGACAUACAUACACCUAUAAAACAGAACAUGCAGAUACACAGAUAUAUGGAAAUAGAACACAGAUAGUGGCGCCACUAGGAAAAAAAAUUUGAUAGUUAAAUAUUGAUUAUAUUAAACCACGCCAAAAAGGCACACAAAUGUAUACACGAUGAAUACAAGAAUGCCAACCAGCCAAAAAAGCACAGUGGGGGAUACACAAAAAACAACUUCGCCUUACUUACAGCCUAACCACUCCAUAAAGUUCAACAUGAACAAAGAGCAAUCACCUAUAGACACCCUGACCCAUUCCAACAAAAUAUACUUGAAAGAUUGUUUAAUUGCUUGGUCAACUUUUUCAAUAUCGCAUUUCAAGGAGUAACAAAGAGAAUCACAUUUAACCAGCAUGUGACAGAUACCCAAAAUAAUCUGUAUGCUUCUUAAAUCAUAUGAUACCAACAAAAUGUUCAAGCAAGGAUCAAGGAAAGAGACAUAAAUUUUCAGAGCUAAUCUGACUUGCCUAAAUGAUUCAGAUGACAUAACAAAGUUUGAAAGCAGCAGCAUAUCAUCAGGGUGAAGAGAUGCUUUUUGUGCACCAACAAGACUAAUGACCUACAAUUGAGCUUCAAGUUGUAAGAUAUUAAAAAAUAACUAAUAUGAGAAAAUGGUCCUCAUAAGUAAGAAAAUAAAAUAAAAUAAAACAGAAGAAACCUUGUGUUUACACAUUAGUAUUGCAAAAAGGACGCCUGAAUCAGCAACAUCUUGUAAUAUGGCACCUGAAGCUUGCCUUGUCGCAUAAGCAAGGGGAAGACAGGUGUAUGCAUGAAGAAAUGUAGCUGGGUUCCUGAAACCACAGAAAUGAUCAACCAAUAAACAAUAAACAAUGAAAUGUAAUUUGAGAAUCUGAUUGGAUUAAAUCUUCCUUGGGUACAAUAGUUCUUUUUCUGACUUGUGGACCAUCUAACUGGGCUAGAUGGUACAAGUAUUCAACAUGUGAGGAUGUGGUUCUACAGUUUGAUAAGUUUGAUGAAAGGCCAGACAUUGAAAAUGUUUGUCCACAGAACCCCACAAAGAGCUCAUAGGCAGCACUGGAACAUCUAUAAUUUCGACUGUAUCUAGUUGUUACUAAUACACGUUUUGGCACCCUUGUAUGCAUCAUGUGUACCCUUUUUGUUUCUUACCUAUCAAAAAAAAAUGUGUACCCUUUUUGUGGACUUUUGACAAGAGUACGGUAAAUUAAAAAAAUUAUUCUUAAAUUACUGUAGUAGGAAAAGUAAUUCCAAAUCUACGGCAGUUUUCACCAGGUAGAAGAGCGGAGUUUGCCAAACUUUUCAAUCGUCUUUUGAAAAGACGAUUUGCAUCAAAACAAGUAAAAAAAAAAACUAAUCCCUCAAAAAUCGUCUUUUGAAAAGACAAUUUCCACCAAACAAAAAAUUCACAAAAUCAUCUUUUCAAAAGACGAUUUAAAAAAAAAAUUUAUUUAAGUGGAAAUCAUCUCUUCAAGAAACGAUUCCCACCCAAAUUUUAAUUUCAUAUAUUUUAAUAUCUUUAAUUAUCUCUAUUUUAUAAAAACAAAUAAUACAAUUUAAUAUAAAAAUAUAUUAUAAAUCCAUUUUAAAAUUACAAAAUUAAUUAUACUUAUACAAUUAUUAUAAAUAUAUAUUAUAAAAUUAAUUAAUUUAAUUUACUAAAUUUAAUAUAAUAUAAAUAAUAUUUAUCUAUUGUUUUUUUUUUCUUUCACUCUGCAAUUAAAAAAAACUAUUAUCAAUUUAUUUGAAAAAAUGAGUUUAAAAAAACAAAUUUUUUAUUAAUUAUUUGCAAAAUAAAUAAUUUUGUUUUGUUUUAAUUUUAAAUUAAUUAUAUUAUAUAAUUUUAAGAUUAAAACUAUUAAUCUUUUAAGUUAAAAUUUCAUGUGUUUUUAUAACUCUUAUAACCUAUUAUACUUCAUCACACCAAUUUGAAGAAGACCAUUUGCUACCCUCUCAUAGCUAACAACCAUUACUAAAUUUAUUUAUUUUAUUUUAUUAUAUAUUCUAACAUUUUACAAUUAUAUAUUUCUUUUCUUUUUUAAAAUGGAUAUUUAAAUGUAUAUAAUAUUUUAAUAUUUAUACCUAUGGGCUAGCUAUGAAAGGGUAGCAAACGGUCUUUUUCAAAUUGGUGUGAUGAAGUAUAAUAGGUUAUAAGAGUUAUGAAAACACAUGAAAUUUUAACUUAAAAUAUUAAUAUUUUUAAUCUUAAAUUUAUAUAAUAUAAUUAAUUUAAAAAUUAAAACAAACAAAAUUAUUUAUUUUGUAAAUAAUUAUUUAAUAAAUUAAUAAAAAUUUUGUUUUUUAAAACUCAUUUUUUCAUAUAAAUUGAUAAUAGUUUUUUUUAAUUGCAAAGUGAAAGAUAAAAAAAACAAUAGAUAAAUUUUAUUUAUAUUAUAUUAAAUUUAGCAAAUUAAAUUAAUUAAUUUUAUAAUAUAUAUUUAUAAUAAUUGUAUGAGUAUAAUUAAUUUUGUAAUUUUAAAAUAGAUUUAUAAUAUAUUUUUAUAUUAAAUUGUAUUAUUUGUUUUUAUAAAAUAGAGAUAAUUAAAAAUAUUACAAUAUAUGAAAUUGAAAUUUGGGUGGAAAUCGUCUCUUGAAGAGACGAUUUCCACUUAAAUAUAUAUAUAUUUUUUUUAAAUUGUCUUUUGAAAAGACGAUUUUAUGAAUUUUUUUGUUUGGUGGAAAUCGUCUUUUGAAAAGACGAUUUCCAAGUUUGACAAACUCCGCUCUCCUACCUGGCAAAAACUGCCGUAGAUUUGGAAUUACUUUUCCUACUACGGUAAUUUAAGAAUAAUUUUUUUAAUUUACCGUACUCUUGUCAAAAGUCCCCCUUUUUGUUGGGUGUUGUUUCAUUUUAAUAAAUAUAUUGUUUGUUUGCCUCUUUGAAAAAAAAAGAAAAAAAACACCUAAUAAACAUCAGACUCCUAAAAAUAGAUAAUGAUUCUAUUUUAUUUUGGUUAUAGGUUUCAGCAUUGCCUUUUAAUUCCUUCUACCAUGUGACUGAUAUUUCCUUCAUGUCUAAACAAGUUCAAUGAGCUACAAAAUUUAUUCUUAGGUUAAACAGAGAAAGUAACAUAUAGAUUAAAGUAUUCAACAAAGCUUAAGCAAAGACAAGGAGUAGAUUCCUCUAUACCAACCUAUAACAAGGAAAUUUUUUUUAUCUAUUUCCAGCUCCAACAAACACAAAACAAGCUAAAAGAGCGAGAAACAAACCAAUUGAAAGAAUGAAUGAGAGAAGAGAAGACAACAUCUGUUCCUCCGAGCAAAGGGGUCAUAUCAAACUUUGGAUUCUUCUCAAAACAUCUAUUUACUGACUUUGUCAGAAUAAGUAGCAUCUGCAUCCAUAUCAAAAUCAAAAGAAUGGAGAACUACCAUAAAUAUCAAAAAAUAUUUUUGUUAAAACAGAAUUGGGCAGAAUGCUUAAGCGGUAAGCAGGUCUUAAUUAAAUCUACUUGUAAUCAGAAUAACAAGUAAGCAACUAAAACUUUAAAACAAAUGCACAUGCAAAAAAAAAAGCAUAGAAUAGUAUAACACACCCAAACACAACUGAAGAGGAAUUUUGUGGCGAGAAAUGACUAAUGCUACCUGACCAUAAAUAAGCUCCAACUGACUUCUUAAUGACUCGUAAGGCUCUUCUGUACAGCUGAUGCAAACUAAGUAAAUUGGUCCUUUCACUAGAAAAACCACCUGGAAUACAAACAAAUAAGUAAAAUGUCAAUCCAGACAAAGUGACCCCAGAUAUCAAACCAUCACACAUUCUAUAAAAUGCAAAACCAAACUGUUGCAUACUCCUCUGUUCUUCCUCCCUUUCCCAUCAUCUGAAUUUGUCACUAUCAGGCAGGGCACUAAAACUAGUUAGCAAUACUAAUUAGGCAGAACAUGUUUGCAAGUCCAGUCAGGUACUUCCUGAAUGUGACCAAUUCCAAUGUAUCGAUAAAUACACCAGAACAAUUUCAUCUGUUAAAAUGGAAGUAUUGGUAUUCUUUCUACCAGAAACAUUUUCAUUCUGACCAAUAAAUCCAUGGUCAAAUCCAUAUGAUACAGAAUGGAACAUACCAGAGUAAGUCCUUUCGUUCAGAGUAUAUGAAGGAGCAACAAGACAGAGGUUGAGGGGGCUAGUUUUGAUGUGCCAUUAUAUUCUAUAUGUCUAAAUCUUCUCUAUUAAAUGAGAGAUGUCAUUUCCAAUUUUAAGUGUCAAUGCAUCUACAUUUUCCCAUUGUAAAAGGAGUGCAUUUCUAUUUCUUCAACUGAAAAACCUUAUAAAAUAGUGGAUUAAUACCUUUGCACCAAACAUGAGAAAAAAUAUACAUACAUCAGUGCAUUUCAAACACUACUAACUCCCUCAUUUAGGCAUGAGUUCAGAAAAAUCCAAUGUUCAAAUGAGAGUGGCCCAUGCAUGGAUGGUGAGAAAACCUUGAUUCUCAUUCAUAUAUUGUCUACUUACAAUUGAGAAAAUAUAUAUAUACAAGGCUAGGAGUCCUAACUACCGUAUAUGCUCCAGCUUGAGGGGGAGUGUUGAAUAUAAUGAAUUUAUAGUGUACAAUAUUUCCUUUUUUAAUAUAGGUCACAUAUAUGGUAGUUAGGACUCCUAGCCUUGUAUAUAUAUAUUUUCUCAAUUGUAAGUAGACAAUAUAUGAAUGAGAAUCAAGGUUUUCUCACCAUCCAUGCAUGACCAACUCUCAUUUGAACAUUGUAUUUUUCUAAACUCAUGCCUAAAUGAGGGAGUUAUUAGUGUUUGAAAUGCACUGUAUGUAUGUAUAUAUUUUUCUCAUGUUUGGUGCAAAGNNNNNNNNNNNNNNNNNNNNNNNNNNNNNNNNNNNNNNNNNNNNNNNNNNNNNNNNNNNNNNNNNNNNNNNNNNNNNNNNNNNNNNNNNNNNNNNNNNNNUGAGGGGGAGUGUUGAAUAUAAUGAAUUUAUAGUGUACAAUAUUUCCUUUUUUAAUAUAGGUCACAUAUAUGGUAGUUAGGACUCCUAGCCUUGUAUAUAUAUAUUUUCUCAAUUGUAAGUAGACAAUAUAUGAAUGAGAAUCAAGGUUUUCUUCUCUCUCUCUCUUAACAAUAAGAAAUACAAAAUCAGUUUUUUGAGAUAGAUAAAAUAGGUAUUUCCUUCUUUUUGUGUUAGGCUGCCCAGUUUUCAAAGAUUUAUUCAUUAGUGCUUAGGCUGGCUCAAUAUCUGAAGGGUCCAACAACAAAAAGUUCAAACGACUAAAAAAGGUUAGUAAGCUAACCUGGUGUUUUCCUGCCCUUAUUAAUUGGACACGAUCUCCCCUGAAAAGAGAUUAAUAAAGGAAACUGUUGAAAGUUUUUUUUAAGUUUUUCUUCAAUGAAAAAUUAAUCCACCAAUAAGCAUAUACUUGCAAAUAAAACUUAAUCAUAUAAUAUAAAUUAAAAUCAAAUAGGUAAAUCAUAGCAAUAUACCCAUUCUCCACAAACGAAAUGAUAGCUUGCAAUGUUGCUGAGAAUCCUGCGAGCUUGUGCUCAUCUCCAUAUCUUGAUGUAAUAAAAGAAAAAAGAAACAAAAGUUAAACAGAGACUAAGUGGGCAUUUGGUAAAACUUAAUAAUUAUUACUUAAUUACUUAAGUUGACUUUUAGUUAAAUUGUUCUUAAGUUGUUAAAUUAAAACUUAUUGCUUAUUUUUUACUUAGUAUUAAGGUUAUUUGGUAAAGUUAACUUAAAAUCUAUUUUAAAUCAUUAAAUUAACAUAUUUACCCUCAUUAUUUUUAACUGCAAUUUAUCCUCAUUGAUUUUAACUUAUAUUUAUUUUCAUUAAUUUUAUGCAAUAAAUUUAUUUGUAAAACAUCUAUAUUUAAAAUAUCUCAGAUACCUAAGAUAACCAUAAAAUAGUUAUUAUAAAAACAAGUCAGGACGUGGAAUCAUAAUUCUAAAAUAUAUUUUCACUAGUGUGGGCAAAUGAGACAAAAAAGAUUUGAGAUUAAAUAUAAGUUAACCAUUUUGACUUAACACUUAAAAGUAAAAAUAACGUUAAGUUGUAAUAUUAAAUUAUUUUAUCAAACAUGCUUAAUCUACUUAAUGACUUAUAUUAAGUUAUUAAGUUGAUUUACCAAAUACCCUCUAAGAAAAACUGAAACAGAAUGCACAUCAAAUCUACUGAAACUCUGCAUUGAGAUUAGUCCCUUUUUUUUUUUUCUUUCUUUCCUUUUUUUUUGUAUCAGAUCUCUGCAUUGGGAUUAAUAGAGCCUGCAAAAUUCAUAAUAUGCAUUUUCUUGGCAGCAGAACCACACCUGGAAUAUAUUGGUUUCCCAGAGUGACUCAGAAUGAAAAAGUGCUUCUUUCUUUUCCUCCAUGAAAUAGAAGCAUCGUCCUGCACUUCAUUUAUUAAUCAAACAGGGCAUGAUAUUCCAUUUAUCUUACUAAAAGUAUUUUCUGAGUCAACUGAGAAAAAUAAAUGAAGGUUAUAUGCAAUGGAACUUUGAAACAAAACAUGUCAUAGAAUGUUGUGUAUUGCAUAGAGCUUACUAUUGAUAAAAUGACUGAGAACUGAGGUGUAAAGUUAAAUGAUGUGAAGCAAGGAUGAGUUAUCUAUAGAGGAAUGGGGAGAGGGGUCCUAGAAAGGGAAAAUCGUAUGCUGAAGCAGUAAGGAAGAGCAUUUAAUCAUUGUAUAAGCACUAUGGGCGAAGCAGGUGCACAGAGAAACGGAGGCAAUGGAAUGAUGUUGUCCAGUGUCAGGGGAACUUCUCUAAUCAAGCCCCAAACUUGCUCUCUCUUAAGAGACAAGCAUUGCUAAGUGAGAAACCGAAGGGCUGUCUUCAAAGAUAAACCCUUGCAUAUGGAUUGAUGGGUUCCAAAGGUGGGAUGAUUAAAGGAAAGUGUUCAUGUAAGAUAAGUGGGUGAGAGUAAUAGGGUUGCCUCUAUGAGCAUAAAUUCAAGACUAAAGAGCUUUACUAGUAGCAUCCUCUAUAACCUUGACCUACAACUAUAGUGUUGUACACAGGCUCUGAUACAAAACAGAUGCAGAACCAUAAAAAUUCCAGCACUAUAGUGUUUUUCCCUGUUGUAUAAUGAAAUGAGAAUGAAAGAAAGCAGGGAAAAAAUGUAAAGGAAAAUCAGGUUCUUGACAAUCACAUCUAGGGUUUUCCUAAGUAAUCACACAUAGGUGGAAAGAAUUUUUUUUUUUUUAAAAAAAAAAAGGAAAUAGAUCCUUGGCAAUCUUACCAAGAUUCCUAGACAAUCAUCCCUAUGGAAGGCAAUCAUACCUUUGAAAGCCUACAUGGAUACUAAAUUCACAAUAAAUUCUAUUCAGUGAAAUGGAAAAACUACAUAAAUCAAUAUAGAGUCAUGUAACUCAUUUUUCUAACAAAAACUAAGACUACUUUUCUAGUAGGAACAUGACCUUUUUUCCCUAAAAAAGUUUGAAACUAAAACAAAUAGAAACUUGACUAGAAAAUAAACUACUAAAAUCAAUUCUAGUAAAAUAAAAUAAAAGACUCCAACUAAAACCAUGAAAUGCUAAAAUUACAAAAUUAAUUUUGUUAAAUAUUGUUAGCCAUCACCAAUGGCUCAGGGUCUACAAGUUUUAACAAUCAUAAUUCCUUGACAUUAAAAUUCUUUCAAUUUUCCACUCUUUCUGUACAGUCCUCACACUCUGACACUUCGAAUUCCUUUAUGAUACAACAAACACUCUCUCUAUCUCUAUUCUCUCCAUUCAAAAUUAGGAGCUUAUUUAAGGAAGUUUCUAGUUAAUGAAAAUCAAAUAUAAAAAUGUUAUAACAAUUCUAUUAAUUAAGAAGUUUUGUUAAUGACAUUCACGGGUUUUUGGGCACCAGUGUGUAGCUUUGAGUCUUGAGAUGAGUGACCACAUCAUGCAAGUUGAAAAACAACUUGGCAGUAAAAGUUGAAAAACUUUUGGAGCAAUUCCAUAGGCGAUGCACGGGUAGCCAAAAGUUCCAACAAUGUAAAAUGAACUUGAAACUUACUCCCAUUCCCAAUUUCUUGCCACAUUCUCUACCAUUCCUAAUUUCUUCAACAAAGAAUAAAUUCUUCGAUGAUAAAUCAAAUGAAAUUAAUUGCAAAACAAGGUUGAGUUGGAAUAACAUUUGAACAUACUAAAAUAGCACCCCACACUGAACUCACCUCAUCGACGUGACGCUUCCCUGGAACCCACGAUUGCUGUAAAUCCGAUACCCCAUCAACGGAAUCAUCAUUCCUAACUUCGAGAAUUUCAUCUUCACCACCCUCCCCAAUCCCAGACUCACUCGUCGCACUACUACUGCCCCGUUCCCCAGCAUAGCCGCUACUGCUAGGGCUGGAAGGCGCAUCAACUUCAUGCUCCGAAUUGUCCCUCCACACCACUCCAUGAGUGAAGCUCUCACUCACCUCUUCAACCACCGCCUCACUGCCAGCAGCUUGAUUAUUCUGAACCACUUCCUGGAUCUCCUCACUGAACGAUCCGUUUGCGACCCCGGCUUGAGGCUCCUGAUCCGAUGGCGAUUCGGCGCCGCCGUUGGGCUCAGUCAACGCGAUCGAGGCCAAGCGAUCUUGAAGGGAGUCGAGGGGUUUGGCUGUGGGGCUAGGGUUAGGGUUUUGGUCAGUGGAGCCGUCAUUGGAUAUGGAGGAGCUCGAAUCGGACGACAUUGGGUAAGAUAUGGGGGGCGAUAUUUCGGAAUUCGUUGGAGCGCAGUGGAGAAAACUGAAAACUAGGUUUAAGGAUGGUUUGGUCUUGGAGAGAGGAAGAGGACGAGAGUGCUUUCAGCACCAGUCGGUCACCGUCUCCAAUGACCAGUAGGUGAAUGGAG